GAUCCGUUGGUGAACCAGCGGAGGGAUCAUUACAGGACUCGCAAGACUCCUUCACCCUGUGAACCUCACUACAAGCACCUUGCUUCGGCGGGUGUCCCGGCGAGGGUGUUCCCUCGCCGGGGCCCACCGCCCGCCGGCAGGCCACUAUUCUCUGUCCCUUUUCCUUGGCAUCUCGAGAAAAAACAAACAAGUUAAAACCUUCAACAACGGAUCUCUUGGUUCUG
Molecule: unclassified non-coding RNA, 224 nt
Filed under: plant metagenome
Description: partial contains small subunit ribosomal RNA, internal transcribed spacer 1, and 5.8S ribosomal RNA
Source: RNAcentral